UUUAAUUUCAAUCGUCGCAAACCAGACGAAACACUAUUUUGAAACUAGAACAUAGAAUAUUAUUCCGAUGGAGUCUCCAAGUGAGGGUUUGUCUCGCAAAUGCAAGAUAUUUGACCGCCAAUACACUAUUAAAUGGUGUGAUGAGCCUCCUUAUAAAAGACGUCGCCUCGACGAAGCUAAUGAAGUGUAUAUCUACCGUCGGGAACAGAUCCAAUCGGAUUUAUGCAACGGCCUCACUUGGGAAACUAAAGUACAAGUGCUUGAUCCACCAGCUCAAAAAAAAGGAUUACUUUCGAAUUUAGUUAAAGGAGUUAAACACUUGUAUUCUAUGUUAUUCAAACGUUAAAUUAUUUAAACACAGAAGUUCUAGAAACUUCAUGAUUUUGGAUAAAUGUUUAAAUUUUCUAUUUUAUAAAAUUCGUAAGAUGAAAAAUUUAUGUUGAGUGAUAAAAUAGGAUAAUUAAAGGCGGAUAUUAAAAAUUAGAUUUAGCAUUGCUUUAUAGAUUUUGCUCAAAAAAAGGAUUUAUUUUUGACUUGCUUUUCUAAUUUUAAUGAUCAAGUGAGGAUUGUUUUUCCUGAAGACGGGACUAUUAAGUAAUUACAUGCACACACUAACACACACGCGCACACACACACAGAGAGAGGCGCACGUGUAUGCGAUGGCAACUAAAUUACGGAAGCGUUUUGCGCUAUGUGGCGCCUCCCAAGGAUUUCAUUUGGCUGGCAAGUCACGUGAUGUGCAACAGCAGCAGUGCGCUGUUAACUUGUGGGUUGUGUUACGGUAAACGCUCUCCUCCGGGUUCCCUUUGGCUCGCGCGGAGGUCAGGGGUCAGGGGUGAGGGGUCAAACGCCGACCCGACACAAUGAUAAACUGCGUGCCGCAAUAUGAGCCAGCUAGCCGCAAAACUUUUGGCCAAGAACAACGACGACGAGUGCUUAGCGGCCAACAGAGAAAGUCCAGCCUGCCGCUAAUUUAUGUCCUCUUGGCCCUCUCGCAAGAUGGAUCCACAUCCAGACUGUUGGCCCAUGGCCCCUUGGCCAGUGCAGUUGGCCGGCUUUCGCUCUCUCUUUCCUUUCUCCCGAGUGUUUAACAUGCGCCGACUGGCGCUCUUUCUGGCUUUUAUACCUCCUCCAUUCCCACUUGCCACUUGGAGUUCCCUUUUCGGUUCGGUUGCGACAUGGUCAACUGGCACAUGGCAUUCCCAGCGGCACGCUCCGGGGGCAUCAAUAUUCCCGACGCUGGACGCGCAUGGCCACCUCCGGAGGGGAAGGCGGUCGCAGGACCACCGGAGAUCCCAAGACACGCUGCUGCACUGCGCGAAAAAAAGUAUUGUAAAGUUAUAUGUCCAAGGAAGCAAGCCAUCGCAUUAAAGUAUAUACGAAACAUGUGGAAACUAUAAAGAUA
Drosophila ficusphila is the source of this 1405-nucleotide long non-coding RNA. RefSeq lists it as uncharacterized. The record is from RefSeq and is a predicted model, not a curated record. NCBI's taxonomy places the organism in Eukaryota, Metazoa, Arthropoda, Insecta, Diptera, Drosophilidae. The transcript is spliced from 4 exons.